This 427-nucleotide long non-coding RNA is filed under the name Mytilus galloprovincialis (Mediterranean mussel). The record is from RNAcentral. Lineage: Eukaryota; Metazoa; Mollusca; Bivalvia; Mytilida; Mytilidae.
UCGAUAUCUGACUUUACUAACGUCAUACAUAAAGUAUACGUAAGAAAUCACAAUUAAGACUAUAUUUGAGAUUGAAUUGUCUCCCUUUUUCCAAAAAAAAAAAAAAAACCCAUAUCAAAAUGCAUUCAGCUAUAAUUUCGCCAUUAUCUUCAUAUUUUUCUUAAUCUAAUUAGGAUAUUUGAAUUAAGACAACAUUGUUGUACAUAGGGAAAGCGUUUAUUUUCAGUUAGGGAAUCAUGAAUGCAUUGGACAAUUAAAACAAUCUUGAUACUGUACGUGUAAGUCUUUUUGUUUAUAAGAAAAAAACCGAUCAAAAACCAGUUACAGCCCAAUGCCAUUAAUGGACUGUUUUAUGCUUUAUGGUCUGGUGUGGUCUUUUUGGAAUGUUUUCGUCUUUCAUUUAUUUUCAUACUUCGUCAUCCCGGGC